UAUUUUGGCUUUGGGAAUUGACUGUUAAAUUUAAAAAUAUGUAAGUUAGGUAGUUUAAAUAAUGUAAAUGCAGUUUUUAAAUUUAAUAAUUAUAGAAAUAUAGAAUUAGAAAUUUGAUUAGUUUAGGUUAAGUUUGUGCCAGCAACAGCGGUUAGACAAACUAAACAGGUUAAUUAUGUCGGAUCAAUUAAAUUAAUUUUUAAAUUUAGAGUAUAAGUUUUUAAGUGAAAUUUAAAUUUAUAAAAGAAUUAUUUAUCUUAGGUUGAAGUUGAGAAAUUUUAGUAUUAAAUUAGGAUUAGAUACCCUAUUAUUUAAAAUGUAGAUUUAUUCCGUGGUUAUUAAUAGUUAAGAUCUUUAAAUCUAAAAAAUUUGGCGGUAUUUUAGUCUUUUCAGAGGAACCUGUUUAUUAAUUGAUAAUCCACGAUUAAAAAUACUUUAAUUUUUUAGCUUGUAUAUCGUUGUUUAAAAAAUUUUUUUAGAAUUUAAUUUUUAAAAUUUUUGUUAAAAUGAAUUUCAGAUCAAGGUGUAGUUUAUAUUAAAGUUUAAAUGGGUUACAUUGUAAAUAUAAUUUGGAUUUGUAAUUUAAAAUUAUAAUUAAAUUGGAUUUGAGAGUAAAAUUGUUAUAUUAAUAAUUUGAUUAAGCUCUAAAAUAUGUACAUAUCGCCCGUCGCUUUCAUUUAAAAUGAAAUAAGUCGUAACAAAGUAGAUUUAUUGGAAAAUGAAUCUGGAAUGAU
This 734-nucleotide non-coding RNA is filed under the name Spinolyprops cribricollis. The record is from RNAcentral. Lineage: Eukaryota; Metazoa; Arthropoda; Insecta; Coleoptera; Tenebrionidae.